This 750-nucleotide ribosomal RNA is filed under the name uncultured Rhodopirellula sp. RNAcentral's name for it is "bacterial SSU rRNA". It matches the Rfam family "Bacterial small subunit ribosomal RNA", at positions 144 to 905 of the family's 1533-position model. Lineage: Bacteria; Pseudomonadati; Planctomycetota; Planctomycetia; Pirellulales; Pirellulaceae. The record is from RNAcentral.
UAGCGUUGGGAAACCGGCAGUAACACUGGAUAAUAUCUUUGGAUCAAAUGGUGUGAUUCCGCCUGUGGAUCGGACCGCGUACUAUUAGCUUGUUGGUGGGGUAAUGGCCUACCAAGGCUGCGAUGGUUACCGGGUGUGAGAGCAUGGCCCGGCUCACUGGGACUGACACACUGCCCAGACACCUACGGGUGGCUGCAGUCGAGAAUCUUCGGCAAUGGACGAAAGUCUGACCGAGCGACGCCGCGUGCGGGAUGAAGGCCUUCGGGUUGUAAACCCCUGUCAGUUGGGAGGAAAGGCCUGUGAAGAGCAGGCCCUGACCGAUCUUCAAAGGAAGGACGGGCUAAGUUCGUGCCAGCAGCCUCCGUAAGACGAACCGGCCAAACGUUAUUCGGUAUCACUGGGGCUUAAAGCGUGCCUAGGCGGCCUGGCAGGUGAGAUGUGAAAGCCCACGGCUCAACCGUGGAAUUGCGUUUCAAACCGUCGGGCUUGAGGAAGACGGGGGUGUCAGGAACUUAUGGGUGGAGCGGUAAAUGCGUUGAUAUCAUAGGGAACACCGGUGGCGAAGGCCGACACUGCGUCUUUACUGACGCUGAGGCACGAAGCUAGGGUAGCGAACUGGAUUACAUACCCCGGUAGUCCUAACCCGAAACCAUGAACACUGGGUUGACGUGCACUUCCACAUCCUCUCGGCCGCAGCAAAAGCGUUAACUGUUUCGGCUGGGACUAUGGUCCCAUCGCUUGAAACUCAUG